This 2280-nucleotide long non-coding RNA is filed under the name Homo sapiens (human). RNAcentral describes it as "HSALNT0114281". Lineage: Eukaryota; Metazoa; Chordata; Mammalia; Primates; Hominidae. The record is from RNAcentral.
AACACAAUGUAAGCUUGGGGUUUCCCUGACUAAAUAAUUAGCGAAUAUUUGAACACCAGACCUGUAUGAGAGCAGGCUACUAGCUAUAAAUUUUCUGUAAAGAGAAUUAUUAAUAUUUUCCCCUGUAGUCACCUUGAAAAUUACCAAUUUCUUGGUAAGAUCUAUUUUUUAGUGGAUUUUUUUUCUACCCCAUAUCAUCACUAUCGGGGUACUCUCUUCAAGGGUCUAGGCCUGUUGGAAGAGUCUUAAGUUCACAACUUAAACUGAAGAUUCUCAGGUGUCUUUCUGCAUUUCUGAAGCGGUCCCUGUAAGACUAAAAUUUGUAUUCCUCAAUAAUUGAAUUGAACUUGGAUCUGGCUCUGUUGCCCAGGCUGGAGUGCAGUGGCAAUGCUCACUGCAACUUCCACCUCCUGGGCUUAAACCAACCUCCCACCUCAGCCUCCCAGUAGCUAGGACUACAGGCGUGCACCACCAUGCUCAGCUGAUUUUUGUAUUCAUUGUAAAGACAAGAUUCUGCCAUGUUGUCCAGGCUGGUCUCUAACUCCUGAGCUCAAGCAGUCCACCCACCUUGGCCUCCCAAAGUGCUAGGAUUACAGGUAUGAGCCUGGCCACAAUGUCAUAUUUUAAGAUAUACUAGAAAGAUACUAUACUCAAGACAGUACAGUAUUGGCGAAGGAAUAACCACAUAAAAGGAUGGAAUAGAAUGGAGAUUUCAGAAAACUGACUCAUAAAUGUGGUCAACUGAUUUGUGUAAAAAGUACAAUGCAAUUCAAAUGACAGUAUUUUCCAAAAACCGUGCUUGAACUGCAAAUCCAUAUGUCAAAAAACCCCACAAACUCACAAAAAACAAAGCCAAGAAAGCAUCAUGCUAUAUAUCACUGCACGUUUUUAAAAAAGAAAUUUGAGAAAUCAGACUUACAUGUAAAAUGUGAAACUAUAAAAAUCUUAGGAAAAAAACCAUAGAAUAUCAUCAUGACUUUUCCUGAUUUUGGUAUUAGGAAAUGUUGGCCUCAUAAAAUAAGUGACAUAUCUACUUUAUUUCUGCUCUGUUUUCCGGAAAAAAACAUUUUACAAAAUUGAUAUCAAAUUUCCUCAAAAUUGUUGAAAUCAACUGGGACUAACAUUUUCUUCAUUAGAGUGUUUUUAAUGAUGAAUUCAAUUACACACUCACACAAGCUCACAUUUUAUAUGUUAGCUGCAACCCUCACAUUUUGAUGCAGAGGCCAAGAAGGAAGCAAAGUACAGCAGUCCUCUGGGUAUGUUCAUGGAAACCCAGCCAGGGAAGUUGGCCUGGAUGGAGGGAGGAUUCACUAGGUAGGAGGUGUCAAUAGGAGAAAAAAGAUUGGAUUUGAAAGAUUCUUUAUCCUAAUGGAAAUGGGAAAUCAUACCACUUUGAUAAAAAAGAUUCCUGCAGAAAGAAAGGUAAAAUGCUAGUGAAAGGUAAAACUGGAGUGUAAGAGGAGACCACAGUUAGGAAGAGAGGCUCAAAAAGUUUGGCAGAAGUUGGCACAAGUGAUAAGCGCAUGAACUAAGGUGCAGGGAGUGGGAACAAUAAUGAAAGCCUGUAUGCUUCCUGUGCUCACGUUUAGGGGCUUGUCUGCUAGUGCUUUACAUACAUUAUCUUCUUAAUACUCAAAACAAGCCUCUGAGGAAACCUGGGCUUACAGAGAUGUUACCUAACUUUCUUAAAGACACACAUCUAGUAAGUGGAUGAGCCAAGAUUGGAACUCAGUUCUGGCUAUAAAGUUGCUUCUCCUUGAAUGAUAAUGGGAGAAUGCAUAAAAAUACUUUAAAAACAAAAACAUCAGGAUUUUUGAAUAACUAGAUAAACUGAAAGGAUAGAAAAAUGAAUCAAAUGGCUACAUAAAAGGAUAAAAGAGAGGAAGAGAAAUCAAAUGAAUGUGAAGUUUCUAAUUUAUGAGUUUGAGUAGUUUUUUUAAAAAAGAACAUGAGCAGAAGAAGGAGGGGUUUUUAUUUCUGGGAAGGAAGUGAAAAGUUUGGUUUUGGAUAUUUAAAUUUGAAUAAACAUAAGACAUCCAGAUGAAAAUGUCUGAUACGCUGCUGUACACAGUCAGAACUAUGAGGCUAGAAUUUAGUAAAACUCUGCACUACAUGGUUUUUCACAUGAUUGUCUUCAUAGCAUAGAAUAGGUAUUAUCCAUUUUCUUAAGUUGUAUUCCUGGUACCUGGCUCUUAGUAGAUGAUGGGUGAAUAUUCCUUGAAAUAAAUUACUAAUUUUCUCAAAAACUUUAUACUACAUUAGAUCUUUAUAAACAUUUAG